CGCUGAGUUUGAUCCUGGCUCAGAAUGAACGCUGGCGGAAUGCUUUACACAUGCAAGUCGAACGGUAGAGGGGGCAACCCCUUGAGAGUGGCGAACGGGUGAGUAAUAUAUCGGAACGUGCCCAGUCGUGGGGGAUAACGUAGCGAAAGUUACGCUAAUACCGCAUACGAUCUAAGGAUGAAAGCGGGGGAUCGCAAGACCUCGCGCGAUUGGUGCGGCCGAUAUCAGAUUAGGUAGUUGGUAGGGUAAAGGCCCACCAAGCCAACGAUCAGUAACUGGUGUGAGAGCACGACCAGUCACACGGGGCACUGAGACACGGGGCCCGACUCCUACGGGAGGCAGCAGUGAGGAAUAUUGGUCAAU
This 363-nucleotide ribosomal RNA is filed under the name uncultured Limnohabitans sp. Its description in RNAcentral is "bacterial SSU rRNA". It matches the Rfam family "Bacterial small subunit ribosomal RNA", at positions 1 to 372 of the family's 1533-position model. Lineage: Bacteria; Pseudomonadati; Pseudomonadota; Betaproteobacteria; Burkholderiales; Comamonadaceae. The record is from RNAcentral.